This 324-nucleotide ribosomal RNA is filed under the name uncultured eukaryote. RNAcentral's name for it is "partial 18S ribosomal RNA". It matches the Rfam family "Eukaryotic small subunit ribosomal RNA", at positions 1470 to 1796 of the family's 1831-position model. The record is from RNAcentral.
CCCUUAGAUGUUCUGGGCCGCACGCGUGCUACACUGAUGCAUUCAACGAGUUUCUUCCUGGUCCGAGAGGAAUGGGUAACCUUUUGAAAGUGCAUCGUGAUAGGGAUAGACUAUUGCAAUUAUUGGUCUUCAACGAGGAAUUCCUAGUAGACGUAGUUCAUCAGACUGCAUCGAUUACGUCCCUGCCCUUUGUACACACCGCCCGUCGCUCCUACCGAUUGAAUGCUCAGGUGAGCCAUUCGGACCUUCAUCAUGCCGGUUUCCGGUUUUGAUGAGGGAAAGUCUUGCGAACCUUAUCAUUUAGAGGAAGGAGAAGUCGUAACA